AAGAGCCACGAAUUUCCCUGUCCCUUGGCAGCCGCCAGGAAGGGGAGAGGCUCCUCCAUUACAGCAUGAAGACCAAGGAAGGAGGGGCAAGGGGCCGCCGCCCAUCGCCACCGCUGAUGCCCGUCUCCGUUGCCGUGGCCGACAUGGCCUCCAUCUCUUCGGGGCUGCACCUCUCCAUCAACAAAUCUCUCUUUCUCACUAUGAUAAUGUGUGAGUAAUCCUCCUCGUGGUUGAGGGUAUGUACUAGUACCUAUGUGUUCAAUCUCUCUCUCUCUCGUGUUCUUGAGAUGGCACGAUCUUAAUGUAUCACGAGCUUUAUUAAUAUGGAUGAAUCAUAUGGAGUUUUCCCCUCUAUAUGUUCUUGGGAUGAAUUGAGUUUUCCCUUUAAAGUUUUCUUAUCGGAUUGAGUCAUUAAGGAUUUGAGAACACUUGAUGUAUGUCUUAUGAUGGGAGAUCUGUGGUGACGAUGGGAUGUUCUAUUGAUGUAACACCCAAAAAUUUUAAAUUUGAUUUCUUGAUUUUUG
RNAcentral lists this long non-coding RNA (524 nucleotides) under Hordeum vulgare. RNAcentral describes it as "long non-coding RNA (HVUL_LNC018766)". The record is from RNAcentral. Lineage: Eukaryota; Viridiplantae; Streptophyta; Magnoliopsida; Poales; Poaceae.